AAAAAAUCUUCUAGGAGCAGCUAACAAGAAUCCUAAUACAGGAGUGUUUAUGGUUGGGUUGAGACACAUUCAGUAGCUGAGUGAUUGACAGCAAGAGGAGCAAGACAUGAGGUUAAUAAUUAUCAAAUAUAUGGCAAUGCUGGACUUUAGCUGAUCAUCGUGCUUCUGGAAAACAACAAAAAUUGAGAUAUCUGUUCACCACUUUGUGUGUCCAAGGACCACCUACUUUUUACAUGUGACAAGAACUACCCACCUCCACUCUUCAGGAUAGAACAUGCUGAAGAAAAGAGUUGCAAUGAGAAAAUAUAUGGGAACAAAAUACCUAUGCAAUGCAGAAGUCUGCAUAACUGAACCACUCAGAGGAAAAAGAUUGCCAUUUCAGGACACCUCCUACAUCUGAGGAAAUAUGCAUUGAUCUUGCAGUACUUUUCUCCUCCAAAUAAAAGUCAGUAUGAUAACAACUACACUAUCAGAACUUAUCAAGGGAACUAAACAGGUGGCUUUACAAGAAGAGUAAGAGA
Molecule: long non-coding RNA, 521 nt
Filed under: Homo sapiens (human)
Lineage: Eukaryota; Metazoa; Chordata; Mammalia; Primates; Hominidae
Description: HSALNT0294384
Source: RNAcentral